CACGUAGGAGACGAGCGUUAUCCGGAUUCACUGGGCGUAAAGGGCAAGUAGGCGGUUGCUCAAGUUGGGCGUGACAAUCUCUGGCUUAACUAGGGAAGGACGUUCAAAACUAGGCAACUUGAGGGCAGGAGAGGAAAGCGGAAUUCCUAGUGUAGCGGUGGAAUGCUCAGAUACUAGGAGGAACACCGGUGGCGAAGGCGGCUUUCUGGUCUGCACCUGACGCUGAGAGGCGAAAGCUAGGGUAGCGAACGGGCUUAGAUACCCCUGUAGUCCCU
This 275-nucleotide ribosomal RNA is filed under the name uncultured prokaryote. RNAcentral's name for it is "partial 16S ribosomal RNA". It matches the Rfam family "Bacterial small subunit ribosomal RNA", at positions 524 to 798 of the family's 1533-position model. The record is from RNAcentral.